GACUGUCUCAAAUGCCCGGCUGGUUUUUACUGUCCUGAGGGGAGAAGCGACCCUGUGCCCUGUCCACCAGGCUCCUUUAACCCCUUAGAGGGUCAGGAUGAGUUGGCUGAUUGCAGGGAGUGCUAUGCAGGGAAGGCCUGCACACAGGUAGCCCUGAGGGCCCCCGAUGUGGAAUGCAUGCAAGGGUAUGUGUGUCCCCCUGGUUCCUCUAAACCCAACGCGGCGACCAAUGCCUGUCCACCAGGGACGCUGAGCAAUCGCACUGACCUCACUGACCGCUCACACUGUCAGCAGUGCCCAGUGCGAUAUGCCUGUCUACGAGGAACUGGUGGUAUCCAGAGACCACCACUCUCCUGCUUUGCAGGGCAUUAUUGUCCCCCUGGAACUAUGUUCCCCACCCAGUACAAGUGUCCUGUGGGGACAUGGAGUAGUCACAGUGGGUUGGAAAAUGAAAGUGAGUGUCGGCCAUGCCCACAGGGCUGGUACUGUUUGGCUGGAUCUGGAGCUCCGUCAGGUCGAUGCAGCUCUGGACACUACUGUCCUGACGGGACUGCAUAUGGCACCCAGUUUCCUUGCCCUGCGGGAACCUACAGCAUCCACAUGGGCAACAGAUACCGAGAAGAUUGCCUAAUUUGUCCUAAAGGCUCAUUCUGUCAAAAGGGCACCUCCAAACCUUCCCCCUGCCCACUAUCCACAUUUCGCCAUCUGAAAGGAGGUCGGAGGCUGGAGGACUGCUUUGCUUGCCCUGCUGGCUAUUUUUGUCCCCACUCAGCCAUUGUCAACCCCAGAGUGUGUGGAGCUGGCAGCUACUCUGAUGAGGGCUCUGCGGGGUGUUCUCCAUGCCUGCAGGGCCACUACUGCAGUAAUGAGACCACUAGUGAGGAAGCCAUGUUAAGCAUCAUGGUGUGCCCCCCAGGCUUUCUCUGCUCUCAGGGUUUGGCCCGAGACCCUCAGCGCUCAGCCACCCUCUGUCCUCGAGGCUUCUACUGCCCCGGAGGAGGCAUUGAUCCCAACCCCAUUCCUUGCCCCAAUGGUACCUACAGUGAAUCUCCAGGUCUGCGUGAUGCCAGCGAGUGUGUCCAGUGUCCGGAGGGGAAGUACUGUUACUCCCAGCAGCCUCAGGAGCAGCCUAUUACCAGACCUACAGGCAUGUGUCCUCACGGGCACUAUUGCCCCAGAGGGACUGGCUACCCCAACACCUACCCCUGUCAGUCUGGCCAAUAUAGGAACAACACUCUUGGUCACAGUGGAGAAACAUGUGUUUCAUGUCCAUCCAGGCAUUACUGCGACAGACUAGGAACUCACAUGCCCUCAGUCUGCCCUCGGGUAGGAAUAUCCAGCAUUUUGACUUUGCAACUUUAA
This 1362-nucleotide long non-coding RNA is filed under the name Cottoperca gobio. RNAcentral's name for it is "lncRNA (ENSCGOG00000017581.1)". Lineage: Eukaryota; Metazoa; Chordata; Actinopteri; Perciformes; Bovichtidae. The record is from RNAcentral.